Long non-coding RNA from Drosophila obscura, 2819 nucleotides. RefSeq lists it as uncharacterized. NCBI's taxonomy places the organism in Eukaryota, Metazoa, Arthropoda, Insecta, Diptera, Drosophilidae. The transcript is spliced from 4 exons. The record is from RefSeq and is a predicted model, not a curated record.
AGGACACGGUUGGUGUAUGUCUAAUUAGUUAUAAUAUCCUCGCACGAUUAUAGUUUCUUUAAUGUUACAUACCUCAAUUGUUACCGCUUUUCGUAAAUACAAGUUUGCAUCGGAUUCUUGGAACAUUUGCUGACCAAAGAACUCAAGAUCCUUCAGUAUCUCCUUCACAGCUACAUCACCGAUGUCGACCAGUCGGAACGAUGUUAUGUUCACAAAAUUAUACUUAAAGUCUUCCAGAUCAAAGGUUUCCAGGUCGAAGCUCGUGAAAAAGUAGUGGUAUUUAUACUCAUUCAUCUGCUGUUGUAGAAUCUGCUAACCCGAAUGAAAGAAUUUACAAUCACCUAAUGUUAGACGACCUCAGUUACACCUGAGUGUAACUCCCCCACUCACAUUCUUCAACAGCGCUGUAAUGCCGUCCGAGUUUAUAUCAAUUAUUAUAUUGUGGAUCUCUUUAUUCUUAAACUCGUUCAACACAGACAGGUACGAUGCUUGGGAAACUUUUCGCAUGUGCACUUCCGCUUGAACGGAACGUGAAAGCUGGUGUAAAUUAAUAAUUCCUGCAGAUACAAAUAUAAUAUAUAUGUACAUAUGCAUAUAUGUAUGUACAGAUGUAACAUAACAAUAAGAAACAUCGAUGUGAUUUUUGAAGCAAGAUAAAGCCAACAGGAAACGUCUACAAACCAUAUUACCAGAAUGGAGGUAAAUGUAUAUACCUACAUAUGUAUAUCUUGAAUGCAAAACAGCGAACUUACCAUAAUCUUUUUCAUACAAAAUGCCGAAUCUAGUCCAAUUUAGAUAGCGUAUAACAUCGAUAAAUGCAUUGUUAACGUAUUGUUGUGAUGGAUGGACGUUAAUGGAAAAGUCGUGGAUGGAACGACCUAUAUCUGGAAUAUCCAGGGCGUCACAUAUUGAAUUUAUAUGAGUUGCCAAAACAGAGUCGGUUGGACUAAAAAUAGCCUGAACACCAACCUGCACAAGUCUGCACACUGCAAGUAUAGUAGUUCGGAUAAAAACACGUAAUUACCUAGACAAUGUUAGUUUCUGGCAGAAGGCUCUUGUCCCGAUUCAAUCUAUGAACCGCAUAUCUAAAGGCCAGUUCCGAGUUGUGUUUUCCCGUAUGUUUUGGAAAAAGUGCACCUUGGAAAUAUGUAGCAAGUAAAAGCAAAAACUGUAAUUGCGACCAGUGGAGAUUAUUACCAACUCUUAUUACGGGGGGAGCCCCUGAGGUGUAAGUAACAAACAAAAAUGUACAUAUCGCGGCACCACUCCAAUACAUUAUAAGCGCGUAGACAGACAGUUUUGCACAAGACUAGUUCGAAAUUGCUAAUGAAUUUUUACAUUCUACGAUAAAUUGAUUUCAUUCUAACGAAGCCGUAUUAGUGCAUUCUGUACUGCAGUGCAAACGAGUAGCCACGUGUACUUGGCCACCCCACCAGCUGGUGCUCGAUUUUUACCGAUUUCUAUGGCGUUAAGCACAGUGUACGAGUGCUGCAAUGUGCUCUUCUGAUCUGCUAAAGCUAAACUGAAACUUUAAGUAGUUAUCGCGACUGUCAUUUCGAUGGCAGUUAUUGAAUGAAUCGAGAGCCGAAUUUAAAAUAUUUAUUUUCAAAUACUUAUUUUAAACAAUUUCAAGUUCGCUUUAGUUGUAGGACUUUGAUAAAACUACUCGUACACGGAUAACAGUUGAUCGCUGCACAAACAUUAAUACAUACAUAAAUAUGCAUAGACUCUACUGUGACGAUAUACCACUACCAACCUACCCAGCUCUAAACAUACACACAUAAACAUACAUAUAUUUACACAUACAUAUUUACCUCUACAACAUACUGAACUCUGUUCUUUGGUACCGCAAUUUGUAACUUCCUUCAACAUAAUUUUAGCUUUUUCUCAGCUUUUCUCCCACGAAUUUAUUUGUCUCAGAAGCACGUAACGUGUGUUAAUAAGGAGGAGUCGGGGACAAGGGGGAUAAAGAUAGAUUCAGAUACGGCUCUCAUUAUUGACAGACCUAUACAUCGUGGACAAACGUAGACUUUAAAAUUGUUUCCGAUGGAAAACAGUGACUAAGAUCCUUCCAGUCAUGAACAUUUUUGGUUUCCGUUGUUUUGUUAAAUAUUAAUGCUUCGAUCAUCGAUAAACAGUCCAUGAAGGUUGAAAUGGAAUUUCGCUCUAUUGCAUGCGAUAAUUACAGUUCAAAAUUGUUGUAUACAUUUUUACAUUAGCUGACUUUGAUAAUUUGUUACGUUAAAUUUUGAAAAGACUCUUUUUUUCUUCCAUAUAGAUAUAAAUAUAAAAUGAUCAAGCACUAGACAUCUGUUUCUUUUUUAAUUGUAUCACCAAUAUGUUUUUCCAAUUUGUAUAAAAGGUAUACAUAUGUAUGUAAUAUAGCAAAUGAGGCUAUUGAAAUGUGUGCGAAUUAAUGCCUACCUAAGCGGUUAUCAACAUCCAAUUGAGUGAAGCUCCAAUACCGAUCCACUUAAUUCUAACAAAAAUACAAAUAUAUUAAAAUAUUCGAUACAUUAUAUAUUGAUAGGAGAAUUCAUUGCCACGAAUUGCGUGUGGGUCAAUAUUCAAAGGCGGUUUUCUAAAUAACUUCAUUGAUAUUUUUAUUGUGAUCUAAUAAUGUAUAACCGAAUUAUUUCGGUGGGAAUGCUUUAAUGAAAGCAAAACCGUAAUAAGAUUAUAACUUCCUAUAAUUUAUAUAACACAGGUAUUUUUUUCUUUUCUUUUUUGAAAUACAAAAAACUCAUGAAUGGUCUCUGGAUGAUCGACAAGCACAAGGGACAUAGACUUAACACAUAUAUACACAUAUUUGUAUACAU